Molecule: ribosomal RNA, 441 nt
Filed under: uncultured bacterium
Lineage: Bacteria
Description: bacterial SSU rRNA
Rfam family: Bacterial small subunit ribosomal RNA
Source: RNAcentral
AACGCGAAGAACCUUACCUACCCUUGACAUCCUAAGAAUCUUACAGAGAUGUAGGAGUGCCGAAAGGAAUUUAGAGACAGGUGCUGCAUGGCUGUCGUCAGCUCGUGUUGUGAGAUGUUGGGUUAAGUCCCGUAACGAGCGCAACCCUUAUCCUUAGUUGCCAACAUGUAAUGGUGGGGACUCUAAGGAGACUGCUGGUGAAGAACCGGAGGAAGGUGGGGACGACGUCAAGUCAUCAUGGCCUUUAUGGGUAGGGCCACACACGUGCUACAAUGGGGCGCACAGAGGGAAGCGAAGCUGCGAAGCGGAGCGAAUCUCAAAAAACGCCUCGUAGUCCGGAUUGGAGUCUGCAACUCGACUCCAUGAAGUUGGAAUCGCUAGUAAUCGCGAAUCAGAACGUCGCGGUGAAUACGUUCCCGGGCCUUGUACACACCGUAGUAC